AUUCCAGCUCCAAUAGCGUAUAUUAAAGUUGUUGCAGUUAAAAAGCUCGUAGUUGAACUUUGGGCCCGGUUGGCCGGUCCGAUUUUUUCGUGUACUGGAUUUCCAACGGGGCCUUUCCUUCUGGCUAACCUUGAGUCCUUGUGGCUCUUGGCGAACCGGGACUUUUACUUUGAAAAAAUUAGAGUGUUCAAAGCAGGCGUAUUGCUCGAAUAUAUUAGCAUGGAAUAAUAGAAUAGGACGUUUGGUUCUAUUUUGUUGGUUUCUAGGACCAUCGUAAUGAUUAAUAGGGACGGUCGGGGGCAUCAGUAUUCAAUUGUCAGAGGUGAAAUUCUUGGAUUUAUUGAAGACUAACUACUGCGAAAGCAUUUGCCAAGGACGUUUUCAUUA
Molecule: ribosomal RNA, 387 nt
Filed under: Saccharomyces sp.
Lineage: Eukaryota; Fungi; Ascomycota; Saccharomycetes; Saccharomycetales; Saccharomycetaceae
Description: partial small subunit ribosomal RNA
Rfam family: Eukaryotic small subunit ribosomal RNA
Source: RNAcentral